Molecule: unclassified non-coding RNA, 542 nt
Filed under: Hevea brasiliensis (rubber tree)
Lineage: Eukaryota; Viridiplantae; Streptophyta; Magnoliopsida; Malpighiales; Euphorbiaceae
Source: RNAcentral
AAGGAGCACUUGAUGUCUUCGACAAAAUUAUUCGGCAGGAGGGUAUUUCUAAGCUAUGGAGAGGUACAAAUGCUGGUCUAGCUCUGGCUGUACCAACAGUCGGAAUUUACUUGCCUUGCUAUGACAUUUUUCGCAACAAGUUAGAGGAGUUCACAGCUCAACAUGCCCCAAGCUUGACACCAUAUGCCCCUUUAUUAGCUGGUUCUCUGGCACGGUCUUUAGCUUGCACAAGUUGCUAUCCUAUUGAACUUGCCAGAACACGAAUGCAGGCAUUUAAGGAUAUGAACAAGAAGCCUGCUGGAGUCUGGAAGACUUUGUUUGAGGUUAUUGCCAAUGUCAGGAGCACAACUAGUACCAAUUUUGGCUUACAAAGUUAUCGUGUACUUUGGUCUGGACUUGGGGCACAGCUUGCUCGCGACGUUCCUUUUUCUGCAAUUUGUUGGUCAACUCUUGAACCAGUAAGAAGGCGGCUCCUUUGUCCGCUGGGAGAUGAAGCUAAUGCCGUAGGUGUCCUAGGUGCAAACUUUUCUGCUGGUUUUGUU